GUGGGGAAUCUUGCGCAAUGGGCGAAAGCCUGACGCAGCCAUGCCGCGUGAAUGAUGAAGGUCUUAGGAUUGUAAAAUUCUUUCACCGGGGACGAUAAUGACGGUACCCGGAGAAGAAGCUCCGGCUAACUUCGUGCCAGCAGCCGCGGUAAUACGGAGGGGGCUAGCGUUGCUCGGAAUUACUGGGCGUAAAGGGCGCGUAGGCGGACAGCUUAGUCAGAGGUGAAAGCCCAGGGCUCAACCUUGGAAUUGCCUUUGAUACUGGCUGUCUUGAGUUUGGGAGAGGUGAGUGGAACUCCGAGUGUAGAGGUGAAAUUCGUAGAUAUUCGGAAGAACACCAGUGGCGAAGGCGACUCACUGGCCCAAUACUGACGCUGAGGCGCGAAAGCGUGGGGAGCAAACAGGAUUAGAUACCCCAGUAGUCC
Molecule: ribosomal RNA, 425 nt
Filed under: uncultured bacterium
Lineage: Bacteria
Description: partial 16S ribosomal RNA
Rfam family: Bacterial small subunit ribosomal RNA
Source: RNAcentral